GACAGAGGCCACAAGCGUUAGGCGGAAUCACUGGGCUUAAAGCGUGUGUAGGCGGACCGUUAAGUGCUUUGUGAAAUCCCACGGCUCACCCGUGGAACUGCUUGGCAUACUGGCGGUCUUGGGCCAUCUAGGGGCGACUGGAACAAACGGUGGAGCGGUGAAAUGCGUAGAUAUCGUUUGGAACGCCAACGGUGAAAACAGGUCGCUGGGGAUGUGCCGACGCUGAGACACGAAAGCCAGGGGAG
RNAcentral lists this ribosomal RNA (245 nucleotides) under uncultured bacterium. RNAcentral describes it as "partial 16S ribosomal RNA". It matches the Rfam family "Bacterial small subunit ribosomal RNA", at positions 524 to 768 of the family's 1533-position model. The record is from RNAcentral.